This 2869-nucleotide long non-coding RNA is filed under the name Camponotus floridanus (Florida carpenter ant). RNAcentral's name for it is "uncharacterized LOC105248686". The record is from RNAcentral. Lineage: Eukaryota; Metazoa; Arthropoda; Insecta; Hymenoptera; Formicidae.
GCUAAUUAUUUAAUACGUAAUCAAUGUUUUAAAUACAAUGUUUGUUUCACGCUGUGCAAAAUCGCGCACGUAAAAGUAACAAUCUCCGAUUAUAUAGAUCGCGACGAGACAUAUGAUAUCUUGAUUCAAGUUAAUUGUAGCUUAUUGUAUCCGUUUAACUCUUCUCGAGUGAAUCGACUGAGUUACCGUGAUGUCCUACUCUGCGAGAGAUAUAUACUUAGACCCGACGUGUUUCCAUUGGCUCGAAAGCUCAAGAAACCCCGCCGCUUUCGCCGGCUGCGAACCAAUGGACCACCAUGUUUCUCUUCAUCUUCUUGUUAUGAGUAACUCUAAAGAAGAAUCCUUCGUUAAUGUACUAACUUCUUUGAUUAGAGUCUACUUGAUGGAAACAUAUCGAUGAUUCGUCAGAUUUGAAGAUUGGCACAUGUACACGCACAGUUGCUUGGAAAAAGCUACAACCAAUAUCUUUUUUCUAGAAUAAUUUUUAUAUUUAUUAUAUAUGUUAUUAAUUUAUUCUUGCUGGGUAGCAAAUAUUUUUAUUUAAUCUUGUUCAGAGAGAAAAACGACACAAUUAAGAUUCAGCAAAUCGAUUCAAAAUAUCCUUGUAGAAAUAACAUUAAGUAUGCAAGAUGUUAACCAGGUGGUUAUCGAAGAAGACCCUGAUGGAAGUCGGCGGUGUCAUUCAUACAUUAAGAAAACAUACUCGAAACUAAUAUUAACUGUGUGUUGGCAACAUCCGAGAGGAUCGUAUUAACGAGCUCUUAGAGCAAGAUCACAGAAAGAAUGCCAUAUGGUUGCAGCUGCUGGUGUACAACGUUGUUAGAACGAGAUUGUCUGCCUUCUAUUUUUGCAAUGAACAACAUGAUGUGUGAAUAAAAGAAAACGAAAGAGAUUGCACUAUUAUUUCGGGCGUGUGUAUGACAGCUAAUUUUGCCGGAUGAUGUUAAAUAUGUUAGUGUAACUAAAUUUUAUUCUUCCUCUACAGAAAUGUACUUGACUUUAUCACUGAAAGAAAAUGUAAAUUAUUUUCCAUGAAAUUUCUAACUUUAGCUCGCUAAAAAUUUAACAUAUGACUUACAGAAACCUAAGUUGCUAUUUUUUUUAAAUUAAUUUUUUAAUUUUUCUAUCAAUUAUAUUCUCCUGAUUAUACAAUUCUUUAUCGUUUGAUUGUAAAUUAAGCGAUAUAUAAGAAACCUUGUGUAUAACAUGCUUUUUUCACAUCAUUUUUUUCAUCGCCCUAAAAUCGUACAGUUAGACAGAUUUAAAUUUACAUAUGCCAGUAAGCACGCGUGACACGUGACCGAGGAAUUCAUCCUAAUGAGCGUGGAACGAAGGGGUGUCAUCUCGUGAACACUUUUUCCUUUUUCCCUCGCUCCUGGACAGUUCAGCCUGAGGGUGUUGUCAAGACGGCAAAUAUGUUGACAGGUCAUUCAACAUCUUUCUCGCCUUAGUUUCGCUUUGGUAGGAACCACGAAGAAGCUCUGAGACGCGAUGUUACACCUCCAAAUAUCCAAAUCGCGACACGUGUCUAAAACGAUUUCUUUGAAAAGACAUUGACCACGAAACAAUCGAUUGAAAUUAAAAUAUUAAAGCUUGCAAGGAUGCAACACGCUAUGGCUUCGUAUCAAAUUUUCGCUAAGGAAACGUCGCCUGCAAUGUCACUACAAGAAAUGACACGUCAUACUGAAUCAAAACUAAAAUACAUUGAACGAAAUGUCAGUUUAUGAAAACGAAUAAAUUAGAUAGCGUGUAAAAUUUUGCAAGAUUUUUGACACACGCGUGAGAGGCAAAUUUAUCAUUUGUUUCCGUAUACGCUUUUUAUAACAUAGUUGAAGCGUGAAAAAAUAAAAUGUCAAUAAUCUUAUCUAGAUAUUGAAAAAUAUAUCAAGUGAAUUGAGCUCUUGACUCGAUGAUUCAAAAUAUUUUGCGAUGCCUCACUGCACGACCGAUUUUGCUUGGUACCUUGGAAAAUUCAUUAUCGGUUUUACGGGGAUACUAUUCCUUUAUGUCGGCUUCUUGAAAGAAAAGUGAGCGUCUUCAACAUAUGGGACCGAACUAAACCAAAACGACGAAUAAUGAUGUCAGAAAUAAUCCUGUUUUUGUCCGACAGUGAGAAAAGUUGUGUUUGCGGCGCCAGAAUGAGAGAAUUACUGAGGCAGGAAAGCGAAAAGUGAGUCACGCGCGUCUUCCUAAAGAGCUUUUAUUUCAACAGAAAGCUUUAUUUAUUAUGAAGCAUGUUUAGCGUAUGUCAUGCAAUCUAAAGAAGCAUGUAAUAUGUAUAAGCGCGCCGAAAGUCAUAUACUCGACAAAGAUAUCACGAGGCGAUGAACGCUUCAUAUGAUUAUUUAUAUCAUAAUUACGAUAUUACUAAAAUUAAUAAUAUGCAAUUAAUAAUUUCUAUGUAUUAGACGACCGGACAGAUGCGGAUGUGCAAAAGGGAUGCGAAAUAUACGUUAUUCAUGUGGAUGUAGCAAGCCAACGCGAUUAUCCCAAGAUGAGAGAGAUGAUUGUAUGGUACCUGUGAUUGCAAAUGAAUAUAAUAAAGACAAUUGUGCAAAAAAUCGUUGCUGUAUCAGAAGAAAUUCAAAUUAAGAAAAAAAAAACGGAAACGACAGCCUUUUGAUUAUUGUAAUAUCUAUCAUCUAAAAUAGGUAAUCAUUUGCCUCUAUUUUCUAGCGAGACACUUUUACGAUUUAUUCAAUCACCGCUAAUGCGUCAAAGAAUAAAUGCAGUAAAUUAUACGAAAAGAAAAUACAAAAUUGCGUACAAUUGAAAAUUCUAUUUGUACAUUUUCUAUUGCUAAUUAUAAAGGGAUGUCUACCUUUGAAAAACGUAAAAAAGGGUGUAUCCGAAACAAAUAUUUUAAAGC